GGCCCUCACUCCUCACCCGGGGCCGCAGAGCGAGACACAGAGAGAGAUGUAGACGAAUGGCGGAAACGCUUGGUCUCUGCAACUCCAUAGCAGCUACUCGUACCGCCAUUCCCAAACACCAACACCUCCUCUCCGCCCCUCCCCUACCCACCUCUAUCCCCGCCUCCGUACGCCCUCCCCACAAUCCUCCCUCCACCUCUUCCCCAUCUUCCUCCUCCUCCUCCUCCUCCAUCUCGCUCAAGAAGCCUUUCCGAAUCCCUAACCCCAUCAUCACCUCCCCCUCUCCUUCUUCCCGCCCAAUUCUCCAGGAGAAGCUGCUCUUCCUCGAAUCCAUCGGCGUCGACGUCCUCCACCUCGCCGACGCCCGCCCCUCUGCCAUCGACGCCCCUCUCGACCGCAUCCUCUCCGUCGUCGACUUCCUCCGCUCCAACGGCUUCCCCGACUCCGAGCUCGGCCGCAUCUUCAAUCUGUGCCCGGAGGUUCUCGAGUCCAGCGUCCGCGACGACGUCCUCCCCGUCUUCACCUUCCUCCUGCGCGAGGUCGGCGUCUCCGGCGACGACCUGCGCGGGGUCAUCAACCGACGGCCGAGACUGCUCGCCUGCAGCGUCCCCGACCGCCUCCGGCCCACCCUCUACUUCCUGCAGUCUCUGGGGAUCGCCGACGUGAGGAAGCACACGGCACUCCUCUCCUGCGACGCCGAGGAGAAGUUCGUCCCCCGCCUCGAGUUCUUCCAGCGUGUCGGAUUCUCCCGCAGGGACGCCGUCUCGAUGGUGAGGCGGUUCCCGCCGCUCUUCUGCUACGGGGUGGAGACCAAUCUACGCCCUAAAUUCGAGUUCCUUGUCAACGACAUGCAGAGGGGAAUGGACGAGCUGAGGGAUUUCCCUCAGUACUUCUCCUUCAGUCUCGAGAACCGGAUAAAGCCGAGACACAUGGUAUCGGUCGAGAACCGUGUCAGGCUGCCGCUGGCCGUCAUGCUCAGGCUGACCGAUGAGCGGUUCAGAGAGAAGAUAGAGGUGUGCGUGGGAUCAUCUCAGCCGUUGAGCAGCUCACCUCUAUGGUACGAGACCGUCGUCGGGUCUCCCUGUAGAGACGGCUCGGGGCAGGCUGUUUAUUGCGCUUAAGGUGCUCGAACCAUUACUUCUUCUAUUGUUGAUUGAUCAUGUAAUUUAAAGAUAAGGAGUCUUCAUCGUUGGACCAGCUGCAGACACAUUAACCAGUCGAUUAUGCACUUUUAUCUUGUAAUUGUGAUUCUUUUUCAGUCUUCAAAGGACUUGUUGCACAACUGCAAACAUUUUUCUCUUUGACACAAUAAUUGUUAGCGGAACAGAACUGUGUUGCCUGAUGCUUGACAAGAGGUGGCAACAGAAAGAAAAGCAUGGCAUUUCAUGCCAACUCUGACCAAACCCACCUGUUUUGGGCUUGAGCUCGCAAUGCUCGGUUUCUUGAGCAUGGACAAGCUCUAGCUGGCUCAUUUACCGCCACUCUCUGUAACUAGAAGGAGGGAGGGAGGGAGAGAUCGAUCUAUCAUGUAAUGAUUUGGAUAGCGGAGUCUCCAAUACAGAAUUAUUUCCCAAUAAUUGUUCCCGCAGAAGGAGACGAUUAAGGUGAAGAACUGGUCCGAAUGAGGAAAGCAGCCAAGUAACCCUCCAGAUUGGCAACCAGUUCCUCCAUCGAACGAGUCAUGAGGUCAUCGAUGUUUUCACCGCGGAGCCUCCAGAAAGCCUCUACAAGCUGCAGUUUCAGCCACUGUGAAAGGAGCUGCCCUGCGGCUGCAACGCAUUCACUGUACACUGAAUAGUAUGCAAUUCCGACCUGCAAUAUUCUUAUUACAUCAGAGACCAAUCUGUGGGGAAUCAUGCAGUUUCGAGUUGCAUUCCAUAAUCUGAUAUGCACAUGGCUCCGUAAAGGUAAAAGUCGAGAAGCCUACAUGAUGUGGAUGGUUUAGCUUCAUUUCCCUUGACUAGAAGCUGUUUGAAGGCCCUGGAUGAGAGGGGAAAUGUGAAUUCAAGUUUGAUGAGUUAUGUAAUGCACCCCCACACACCCAGAGUUACUUCUAAUAGCUGUUCGGGGCAUUGCUUUGGGAGUUAGAAAUGUAAAUGGGAGUGGGGAUGGGACGAUAUCAGUACAAAUCUACUCAAGUCCCUGCUUUUCUUUUGCUC
RNA transcript from Nymphaea colorata (pocket water lily), 2159 nucleotides. It is a transcript of the gene named transcription termination factor MTEF1, chloroplastic, with no coding region annotated. The record is from RefSeq and is a predicted model, not a curated record. The transcript is spliced from 2 exons. Lineage: Eukaryota; Viridiplantae; Streptophyta; Magnoliopsida; Nymphaeales; Nymphaeaceae.